Molecule: ribosomal RNA, 303 nt
Filed under: uncultured bacterium
Lineage: Bacteria
Description: bacterial SSU rRNA
Rfam family: Bacterial small subunit ribosomal RNA
Source: RNAcentral
GGCCUUACGGGCUGGGCUACACACGUGCUACAAUGGCGGUGACAGUGGGCAGCAAGGCAGUAAUGCCAAGCUAAUCUCAAAAAGCCGUCUCAGUUCGGAUUGAGGUCUGCAACUCGACCUCAUGAAGUUGGAAUCGCUAGUAAUCGCGGAUCAGAACGCCGCGGUGAAUACGUUCCCGGGCCUUGUACACACCGCCCGUCACACCAUGGGAGUUGGUUUUACCCGAAGGCGAUGCGCUAACCGCAAGGGGGCAGUCGACCACGGUAGGGUCAGCGACUGGGGUGAAGUCGUAACAAGGUAACC